AGUAGCAGCAGUUGUCGUUGAUGUUAGAGAAGAAGUUAUUGUCCGGGUCUAUAUCGUGCUCCAAGUCCAGUAAAUUAUGAGGGUGGCAUGCCUCCACGCUGUUCCAGUCCAUGUCAAUCCCUUUGGACUGUAGGAAGGCAGCCACCUGUUGCUCCACAGAGCGGACAUCCUGCCCACCGGGCUCCCCCCCGUUGUCAACGGUCACCGCCCGGGCGUAUGACCAGGGUUUGAUAUUGAGCCCGGUCACAAUCACGUCAUUGACCCUGGUGUACUGCUCCAGCCCCGCCACUCGAUUCUCAAGGUGCACCAGACGCCGGUCCUUCUCGGCGUUCUGGAUCCGGAGAGCCUUCACUUCCUCCACCAAGUCCAGGAUGGAUUUCUGCUGCUUGCUUACAACUGAAAUCUCCUCGGACAAGAAGUCCAGAGACUUCUUGAUGUCCUCGCCCUCUUCGGCUGUCAGAGCCUUCUUCGGACCCAUGUUGCGUUUACUUCCGCACUGUCGUUCCUCUAUGAGCAGAACGAUAGCGUCCGAUGAGCAGAACGAUAGCGUCCGAGUUAUGUUAAGUCACAUAAUGGGUAUUCAGGAUGCGACAAGUGUGAUCAAGAGGGUGUGUGGAGGAACAAAAUGACGUAUCCUGAAACAGAUGUCAGGCUGAGGACUGACUCGAGUUAUUAUGAUAUGAUUGAUGAGGAACAUCACUUGAAACAGACACUCAGUCCUUUAACAGGGAUUGUAAAGAUGGUUUCUUCAUUCCCAAUAGAUUAUAUGCAUCUCUGUUGUCUUGGGUUGAUGAGAAAACUGUUGAAUAUGUGGUCAAAGGGCAAGCUAGCCACUAGGCUUCCUUCACAAACUGUUAACAGUAUAUCAAGCAAACUGCUGGUGUUACAUUCCCACACCCCUGUUGAAUUCAAUCGUAAGCCAAGAGGUUUGAAUGAGCUUGAUCGUUGGAAAGCUACUGAGCUCCGAUCCUUUAUGUUAUACUGGGGUCCUGUAGUUCUGAAGGGUUGCCUUCCCAGUGAGUUUUAUGACAAUUUUAUGUUAUUUUCAGUGGCAAUGUAUUUGUAUUUGUCACCGGGACUUUCUGACCAAAUGGUUGAAUUUGCACAUAGAUUGAUGAUUUCCUUUGUGAAACACUUUGGACAGCUGUAUGGUAGGGAUGAGAUUGUGUUCACUGUUCAUCAGCAUAUACAUUUAGUUGAUGAAUACAAACAAUUUGGACCUUUAGAUAAUGUUUCGGGAUUCCCUUUUGAGAAUUAUCUUGGCCAAAUUAAGCAUCUUUUACGCAAGCCACACAAACCUCUACAGCAGGUUGUCAAAAGGUUGUCAGAAAUGCCACAUGUUGAGCGUCCAUUAGCAACAGAUGAACCAGUCUUACAGAACAUCCAUACUGAUGGACCACUUCCUCGACAUUUCAAUGUUGCUCUACAGUACAGAAAGGUCUCCAGUAGUCGCUUUACCUUGUCUACAAAGCAGGGGGAUAAUUGUAUUGAGGUGGGAGAUACAAUUGCAGUAGUGCAGAAUAUAGUCCAAGAAGAAGAUGAGGUCUAUGUGAUAUACAGAAAGUUCAGACACCAAGAAUCAUAUUACACUUAUCCCUGUGAGUCCUCAUGCAUAGGUACAUAUAAGGUUCGAGAGUUGUGUGAUGAUAUCGGCGUUGGUAAACUUGGCUGUAUUAAACGUAAAUGUGUUCUGUAUCCAGAGUCAGAGGGAAAUAGCCUCAUAGCUAUUCCAAUAGCUCAUAUGCAGUAGCAUAGCAAGUUUAUGACUUCUUACGAUUCAUGAGUUGUUUUUUUUUAAUCAUUUAUAUUCUAAUUGAAUUUAUUGUACACAGAAUGGAAAGAGAGGUGGUGCUUUGGGCCGUUGUCCUAUUUCCAAAUGGCGGAACUGCAACAGUUCUUUCCAGCUGGUUCAAUGCAAAGGAAGGUACAUUGUUCUGGCCCCCAAAAAACAUAAAUUAUUCAAAGGCCCUUAAAGAAAACAUGAUGCCCCGUAAAGGAUGGACCACGUAUGAGAAUGUUCGGCUCUUAAAUACUUGUGACUCAUUUGAAAAGGCCAAGCAACAUGAAGAAAAGUAUGUCACUACUGGAUGUCCGACCACUGAUUUGGAAUCAGAGGUGGAAGCAGAUGUACGUCGGAAAAGAAGAACAAGAACAAAUACUGUGUAUGCGGAGUCAGAUGAGGAGCCAGAAACCAGAAGUGUUAAGAGAAAAUUUGCCAAGCCACCUGCUAUUCACUUUCCAGUGCUGCCAGUAUCCAACCAGUACCCCUCUCUACCAACCCCAGAUGCAAGCAGUGCCUCUGGAGGAAACUAUUCUGAGGAUGUUCAGUCAUUUGACCAGCCUAAUAAUGACUUUAGUGGAAACUUCUUGGCAGAGCUAGAGUCAACAGAUCUCUGUAAUGAUGACUUUCCUGGCAAUCACCAUCACCACCCCCAGGGCUAUACAGCUCCAGAAACACCACGGGGAAGAUUCACUGCAAGGGAACCCAGCCAAAUGUUGCAAGGCAAGUAUCAUUUUCUGAUCAACUUCUUAACCUUACUGAUGCCAUCUGAAUUGAGAAGCAUGUCCCUUGGGACAUCACUGUCUUUGUUAGGCUUAACAUUUAAGUGCUUAAUGGUUACUAUCAGUUAGGGGUGCAAACAUCAGUGAGUUGCUGAGUGUCAUUCUAAACAAUUGAAAAUGGUCAAUCUAUCCUUGAAAUGUAAUGUAAAACCAAUUGCUUUUCUUCUAAGACAUUGCUGCCAACCAAAAUACCAAGAUGCUAACGGAGAUACUCAUGGAGGUGAAGCAAAUGUCACGGGACAUUCAGUUCAUCAAGACUGAAAUUGCCAAAUCCGCCAUGAAUAUUCCCGGAGCGGGAUCACAGAGAGAGGAGCCCUUCCCCAUUGUUCUGCCACUCGCCAAUGAGGAGCAGUUUGAUGAGGCUGAAGCUGCACUGAGGGAGGAAUCAGUCCGUCGAAAGAUGAUUACCCGCUUGGCAUUAGUCGGAGGGACCAAUGCCGAAAAUAUGAUCCGGCGAAUGCUAUCCGCUACCAUGGCAAUCAGUGUAGCAUGUAUUUUCAACUGGGCGGGAAAUGGACCGAAGAGGGCCUUCAAGGACACGUUAAUGUAGGACUGCAUGUUUGCGGCUGCUCGUCAAUUUGACCGCAAGUUGACCGAAUUGCAGUACAGGGAUGCCCUGCAGAAGUGGCUGCGUUACGCACCGGAGAGGAGUGGCGGGGUACCAAGAAAAGCCAAAGAUUAAGGACUAUUAAGGACAAAUGUUACUGUAAUGUUCUAAUUAUAGGGUUACUUAUAGGGUUAAUGUUCAUAAUUCCUUAAAAUGUUAAGAUGUUUGUUUAUAAUUGCUUUUGAAUAUUUAUUAAAUAACUUUGAAUAAUGGUCUGUUUUGUUGUUGUUUUUUUGUUCAUAG
Molecule: long non-coding RNA, 3412 nt
Organism: Gadus morhua (Atlantic cod)
Lineage: Eukaryota; Metazoa; Chordata; Actinopteri; Gadiformes; Gadidae
Source: Ensembl